AGGACGAACGCUGGCGGCGUGCUUAACACAUGCAAGUCGAGCGGAAAGGCCCUUCGGGGUACUCGAGCGGCGAACGGGUGAGUAACACGUGAGCAACCUGCCCUUAGCUCCGGGAUAGGCUCCGGGAAACCGGAAUUAAUACCGGAUACGACCACGGCCGACAUCUGCUGUGGUGGAAAGGGAUUCCGGCUAAGGAUGGGCUCGCGGCCUAUCAGCUAGUUGGUGGAGUAACGGCCCACCAAGGCGACGACGGGUA
This 256-nucleotide ribosomal RNA is filed under the name uncultured bacterium. RNAcentral's name for it is "partial small subunit ribosomal RNA". It matches the Rfam family "Bacterial small subunit ribosomal RNA", at positions 26 to 285 of the family's 1533-position model. The record is from RNAcentral.